AGGGAGUGGGAGGAAGAGAAGGUGAACAAUUGCCAGCCUAGUAUUGACCCAUUGGGACCUUGCACAUGAAUCACUAAUGGCUAGUCUUUUAGGCAAAAUAAGGUAGUCAUCCAAGCCAAGUCACAGGAGGAUGGAAAGUAACCGAGGUGUAUUCACACAGGAAUCCCACACUCCUACAACAGCUGUGGACCAGGCAGCAUGCGGACCCAGGGUUUCAGCCUCUUGCACAUAUGUUGCCCGAGCCCUGGCCCUGGCCACACCGUGGGGUGGACAAAUCACAGCCUGGCCUUCAGGGAGCCUGUGUCUGUACAGUUAAGAGGUCGGACCACGUGCUGAGUGACUGUGAGCCUCCUUGAUUGCCUACAGGGCCAGCCCGGCUCACACUGCGGGUGCUGAUGGGGCUGCCUACCGGGGGGUUAAGCCCUUCUGUGCAUCAGAGCCUCGCUUAGCUCUCACAGCCUCCCCAUCGGGUGGGGGCUGGGAGGAUGCAGAAGGGGAGGACGCGGAAGUUAAGAACCUGCUAGGUCUCCAGGCUGAGUUCCAGGCAGCUAGGCUCCGGAGCCUGGUGUGGCACUGACCCACCUCUUGGGACAGGUGUGCACAGAGGGCCCUGACCCAGCCUGGGUGGGAGGGGCUGGGGAGGCAGCCAGGUGGGGUCUGAGGCAGAGAAGGGGGAGCACAGGGAGGAAACAGGUUCUCAGACGGAGUGCGGAUCUCAGCCAGGGUCCAGAGCCAAAAUCCAUUCCAUCUGCCUGGUGUUGAGGGAGAAGGCAGGGAAGAGGUGAUCUCGCAGAGGAGAACGCGGACCAGACCUGCAGGCCCCUGUGACUGUGUGAAGCAGAGGUGUUUUCCCCGAAGGCAACGAGGAGGCGUGGAAGGGUUUAGGCAGCUGGUUGCCAAGUCAGACCUGCCUUUUAGAAAGAUGCCUCUGGAUGUCGCGUGGAAGGUGGGUUAGAGACCAACGGGAGCCAUCCUGGACCACCAGGACGGUGGCCGUGGGGCUGGACAGAAUUGACUCAGGUGGACCGCUCUAGAGACUUCCUGAUGACUGUAAAAGCUGCACUCGACAUGCCCACAGCAGGCUCCGGCCUCACCUCUGCCCCUCAACCUGUCAGCAACAGAGAAAAGACCACCCAUGGCUUCUCGCCAGCAGAGGAAGCAAACACAGGACGUGAUCCAGUAAAGGCGCUGGCCGGGCAGGAGGGCUCUGGCAGUAGACAUGCAGCUCACCUGAGAACUCCAGCACUGCGGGGCGCCACCUUGGCCUGAGAUCCCUAAGGCCUCCGGGGAAAAGGUGAUGAAGACUCAAGGUGCCCAGUAAAGCCCCCAGGAGACCAUGACUUAGACAUUCAAAGAAGAGGAGCAGAAGUAAGGGAUGCCUCAGCUAGAUGGACGAGAAAACUGAGGUUAGAGGAAGCUUAUUCCUGCAAAAACGCAAGCCACCCCAGGCUACUAGCGGCGAGAAAGGAGGUUGUGAAGCACCCCAGGUUCAGCCACAGCUCCAGGGAGCCCCUCUGCCUUUGAGCUGGGCUUCUCACAAUAACGUGAGCAUCAUCAGCCUCGUGAUGCAAGCGAAGGGACCCACUUCCUCUCUGCUCAUCUCGGGGUCACUGCUGCCAUCUCAAGAUGCCUCCUGCUCCAGUUCUGGGUUUGUGAUCAAUCUAAGGCUGGGGUCAAGGGGAGACAGACAGUGCAGGUGCCUAAGGUCCCAACCAGGACAAGAGAAAGAGGAAUUCAGGAGGGGGAGAGGUGAAUAUUCCUACAUUAUCUUACUAUGUACAUAUUUUUUAAUUUUUAAUUUUUUAGGCAUUUUUCUUUUUUCUUCUUUGGGGGGGUAAUUAGGUCUAUUUAUUUAUUUAUUUUUAUUGGCAGUACUGGGGAUUGAACCCAGGACUUCAUGCAUGCUAAGCACACACUCUACCACUGAACCAUACCCUCCCCUACUUUUUCUAGUAUUUCUAUAAUAAGCAUCUAUCAUUUGUAUCAUGAGAAAUUGUCCCUCCUGCCAACCCUCAUGCUUUUCACAGUUCUGUUUCCGGCUAAUGGCAGAUUCAACCAACUCGCAGGAGAGUUGAAAUCGCAGUGGGUUUGUGAUGAACAAUUUAAUCAGCCUCAGAUUCAAAUGCUCUCUCAUGUCCAUAGGCUUUUUUUUUUAACAUUUUUUUUAUUGAGUUAUAGUUACAGGCUUUUUAAGACGCUCUCCUCGGGAUUCAGGACUUGGCCGCCCGCUCUCUCCUUCCCUGCCCUUAGGGCGUCUCUGUGGGAGGGGAAGAUGGUACCCAUGGUAAGCCCUACCUGGCCUCCUCAUGCCCUUGGGGAGAUGGCUGCCAGUUAAGGCUGCAUUUACUCGAUCCUCAUGCAACUUUUUGCAGAAAGUUAUUUCAGCUUGAAUGUUGGGGGCCCCUUUUGGUGGCAUUUCUUACCAAGAACAUAAAGCUUCCGUUUGGAGCCCGUGUGCUCAGGAGGAACGGGGGAUGAAACCUGCUGUCAGUUGUCAGGUCCCCCUUCCAGGGAAGUCUCUUAACCAAGGAGCCUCCACUUCUUCCCAGUGGAGGCUGGGGGGAAAAGUGUCCCCUGAAGCACCGGAACAAACAAAAGUGGGCCAAGAAUGAGACUCCAUGAUGCAGAUGGGAACAAGGUUUCUGGUUAAUCCAUCCCGAGUACUGAGACAGAAUAAAGUGGAGAGGAUAAAAGCAGUGGCCACAUCAGGGAAUCAUUCUGUGGCUUGGUGAGCUGCGGGGUGGGGAGGUUCUCCACUGGGCAUCUCACAAAGCCAGGCUGGGCUGUGGUCCGGGGCCUGCUCAGAUGGCCCGUGGACUCCAGCGGAUCUGAGGUCCUCAAGCCCU
Camelus dromedarius (Arabian camel) is the source of this 2846-nucleotide long non-coding RNA. RefSeq lists it as uncharacterized. Lineage: Eukaryota; Metazoa; Chordata; Mammalia; Artiodactyla; Camelidae. The record is from RefSeq and is a predicted model, not a curated record. The transcript is spliced from 3 exons.